UACGAAGGGUGCAAACGUUGCUCGGAAUUAUUGGGCGUAAAGCGCACGUAGGCGGUAUUGCAAGUCGGAUGUGAAAUCCCUCGGCUCAACCGAGGAACUGCAUCCGAUACUGGCGGGCUUGAAUCCGGGAGAGGGAUGUGGAAUUCCAGGUGUAGCGGUGAAAUGCGUAGAUAUCUGGAGGAACACCGGUGGCGAAGGCGGCAUCCUGGACCGGUAUUGACGCUGAGGCGCGAAAGCUAGGGGAGCAAACGGG
Molecule: ribosomal RNA, 253 nt
Filed under: uncultured bacterium
Lineage: Bacteria
Description: partial 16S ribosomal RNA
Rfam family: Bacterial small subunit ribosomal RNA
Source: RNAcentral